UGCAAUCCCCCUAUUCUGUCAGUCAAAGUGAUCAAAAACCUGGGUACUCAGUUUUGCAGUCUUGAUGAAGAAGAGCUCUCUGAUGAAAAGCUCCUGAAGGUUGAGGGGAAAAAGAAACCUGUGAGGAGAAAGAAAAAUAAGACCCAGGGAAGCAGCAAGGAUGAUCAAGAGCAGCAGAAUGAACAAGAGAAGAAAGAAUAAGAUGCAACAAGAGCUUAGUAGAUGCAUCUACCUUUUGCUUGCUAUGUAUCAGAACUUCUGGUGUUUGUUCAGAACCAUGUAUUGGGUUGUGCUAAUCUUGUACUCUGUAUCUGUGGCCCCAGUUGGCAUCUUGUUGACAAUUGACUCUCAGAACCUUGUGAACUUGAAUGUUUUUUAUGCUGUCAGUUUGAUUAUUGUCUUUAUCAGCACAGAGUUUGCUGUGGUUUU
Molecule: long non-coding RNA, 429 nt
Filed under: Sorghum bicolor (sorghum)
Lineage: Eukaryota; Viridiplantae; Streptophyta; Magnoliopsida; Poales; Poaceae
Description: long non-coding RNA (SBIC_LNC005754)
Source: RNAcentral